GUUGAACGCUGGCGGCAUGCCUUACACAUGCAAGUCGAACGGCAGCACGGGUACUUGUACCUGGUGGCGAGUGGCGAACGGGUGAGUAAUACAUCGGAACGUACCUUAUCGUGGGGGAUAACGCAGCGAAAGCUGUGCUAAUACCGCAUACGCCCUGAGGGGSAAAGCGGGGGAUCGAAAGACCUCGCGCGAUUAGAGCGGCCGAUGCUUGAUUAGCUUGUUGGUGGGGUAAAAGCCCACCAAGGCGACGAUCAAUAGCUGGUCUGAGAGGACGAUCAGCCACACUGGGACUGAGACACGGCCCAGACUCCUACGGGAGGCAGCAGUGGGGAAUUUUGGACAAUGGGGGCAACCCUGAUCCAGCAAUGCCGCGUGAGUGAAGAAGGCCUUCGGGUUGUAAAGCUCUUUUGUCAGGGAAGAAACACCGGCUCUAACACAGUCCGGGAAUGACGGUACCUGAAGAAUAAGCACCUACGUGUCUGUG
This 484-nucleotide ribosomal RNA is filed under the name uncultured bacterium. Its description in RNAcentral is "bacterial SSU rRNA". It matches the Rfam family "Bacterial small subunit ribosomal RNA", at positions 28 to 507 of the family's 1533-position model. The record is from RNAcentral.